Molecule: unclassified non-coding RNA, 678 nt
Filed under: Harpegnathos saltator (Jerdon's jumping ant)
Lineage: Eukaryota; Metazoa; Arthropoda; Insecta; Hymenoptera; Formicidae
Description: uncharacterized LOC112588852, transcript variant X2
Source: RNAcentral
UUUAAACGUCAUUGUCGUUGUCUGUACCGUGCUGCAGUACAAUCUGUUUUAUAGAACGCGCGCUUGUACGCGCGAUCGUAAAAAAUCGGCAACUAUGCGCCUAGCGUACGCGCACGUUUUCUAAUUAGUCGGUGUCUGGCACUGCAACGAGAGAUGUCGGCGAAUGAUUCUAACGAGCUGAACGCGGUGAUGACGACGUCCACGACGGCGGCGUCUGCGGGGGCUGCAAUGGUCACGACGGCCACGACGGCCACGACGGCUAUGUCGGCCAUAACGGCUAUGACGGCCACGACGGCGACCGAGCCAAUUAUAUUAACUCCUAAAACACUGCAAAAUAUUAUUAAAGCAGCUGUCGUGGCUGCAGUAGGAAGAGGAAGAGGGAGAGGGAGAGGAAGAGGCAGAGGAAGAGGAAGAAGCAGAAGCAGCGGCGAAGACAGAGCAUUGGAUUGCCAAACACAUUGGAAGUGUGAGUAAUGUUGGUGCAACAUCUAAUAUUUUAGCAAAUCAGCCUCGAAAUAUGCAAUACUAUAAUUACUAAAAUGACAACGUUAAGAUAAUGUAAGAUACAGACGAGGGAGGACAGCACCAGUCUAUUCCGGGGGGAGCCACGGGAGAAAGACCGGUCCUGAGAGAUCAGACUCGACGGAUGGAGAAGAGGAUAAAAGGAGACGCACGGAG